Molecule: ribosomal RNA, 497 nt
Filed under: uncultured bacterium
Lineage: Bacteria
Description: bacterial SSU rRNA
Rfam family: Bacterial small subunit ribosomal RNA
Source: RNAcentral
GAUGAACGCUAGCGGCAGGCUUAACACAUGCAAGUCGAGGGGCAGCACGUCUUCGGAUGGUGGCGAACGGCGCACGGGUGCGUAACGCGUAUACAACCUACCUUAUAGAGGGGAAUAGCCCAGAGAAAUUUGGAUUAAUGCCCCAUAGUAUUAUUGAAUAGCAUUAUUUAAUGAUAAAACAUUUAUGGCUAUAAGAUGGGUAUGCGUUCUAUUAGCUAGAUGGUAAGGUAACGGCUUACCAUGGCGACGAUAGAUAGGGGUCCUGAGAGGGAGAUCCCCCACACUGGUACUGAGACACGGACCAGACUCCUACGGGAGGCAGCAGUGAGGAAUAUUGGACAAUGGGCGAGAGCCUGAUCCAGCCAUGCCGCGUGCAGGAAGACGGCCCUAUGGGUUGUAAACUGCUUUUAAUACGGGAAGAAACACUCCUUCGUGAAGGAGCUUGACGGUACCGUAAGAAUAAGGAUCGGCUAACUCCGUGCCAGCAGCCGCGGUAA